Molecule: ribosomal RNA, 468 nt
Filed under: uncultured bacterium
Lineage: Bacteria
Description: partial 16S ribosomal RNA
Rfam family: Bacterial small subunit ribosomal RNA
Source: RNAcentral
GACGAACGCUGGCGGCGUGCUUAACACAUGCAAGUCGAACGGAAAGGCCCUGCUUUUGUGGGGUGCUCGAGUGGCGAACGGGUGAGUAACACGUGAGUAACCUGCCCUUGACUUUGGGAUAACUUCAGGAAACCGGGGCUAAUACCGUAUAGGAGCUCCUGCUGCAUGGUGGGGGUUGGAAAGUUUCGGCGGUUGGGGAUGGACUCGCGGCUUAUCAGCUUGUUGGUGGGGUAGUGGCUUACCAAGGCUUUGACGGGUAGCCGGCCUGAGAGGGUGACCGGCCACAUUGGGACUGAGAUACGGCCCAGACUCCUACGGGAGGCAGCAGUGGGGAAUAUUGCACAAUGGGCGGAAGCCUGAUGCAGCAACGCCGCGUGCGGGAUGACGGCCUUCGGGUUGUAAACCGCUUUCGCCUGUGACGAAGCGUGAGUGACGGUAAUGGGUAAAGAAGCACCGGCUAACUACGUG